RNAcentral lists this ribosomal RNA (885 nucleotides) under uncultured cyanobacterium. RNAcentral's name for it is "bacterial SSU rRNA". It matches the Rfam family "Bacterial small subunit ribosomal RNA", at positions 8 to 918 of the family's 1533-position model. Lineage: Bacteria; Bacillati; Cyanobacteriota. The record is from RNAcentral.
AGAGUUUGAUUAUGGCUCAGGACGAACGCUGGCGGCGUGCUUAACACAUGCAAGUCGAACGGGGUCGCAAGACCCAGUGGCGGACGGGUGAGUAACGCGUAGGCAAUCUGCCCCUCAGUGGGGGACACCCAGCCGAAAGGUUGGCUAAUACCGCAUACGCUGGUCGGUUGAAAUACCGGUCAGGAAAGGUUUACCGCUGAGGGAUGAGCCUGCGUCCGAUUAGCUAGUUGGUAGGGUAACGGCCUACCAAGGCGACGAUCGGUAGCUGGUCUGAGAGGACGAUCAGCCACACUGGAACUGAGACACGGUCCAGACUCCUACGGGAGGCAGCAGUGGGGAAUUUUCCGCAAUGGGCGCAAGCCUGACGGAGCAACGCCGCGUGGGUGACGAAGGAUUUCGGUCUGUAAAGCCCUUUCAGUCGGGACGAGUCGCAGACGGUACCGACAGAAGAAGCAUCGGCUAACUACGUGCCAGCAGCCGCGGUAAGACGUAGGAUGCGAGCGUUGUCCGGAAUUAUUGGGCGUAAAGCGUACGUAGGCGGUCAUCUAAGUCUGGGGUUAAAGACCAAGGCUCAACCUUGGGAGUGCCCUGGAUACUGGGUGACUGGAGGACGGCAGAGGAAAGUGGAAUUCCCAGUGUAGCGGUGAAAUGCGUAGAUAUUGGGAGGAACACCAGUGGCGAAAGCGACUUUCCGGGCCGUUCCUGACGCUGAGGUACGAAAGCCAGGGGAGCAAACGGGAUUAGAUACCCCGGGUAGUCCUGGGCCGUAAACGAUGGGAUACUAGGUGUCAUCGGUAUCAACCGCGGUGGGUGCCGUAGCUAACGCGUUAAGUAUCCCGCCUGGGGAGUAUGGUCGCAAGGCUGAAACUCAAUGAAUUGACGGGG